This 510-nucleotide ribosomal RNA is filed under the name uncultured bacterium. Its description in RNAcentral is "partial 16S ribosomal RNA". It matches the Rfam family "Bacterial small subunit ribosomal RNA", at positions 28 to 523 of the family's 1533-position model. The record is from RNAcentral.
GACGAACGCUGGCGGCGUGCCUAAUACAUGCAAGUCGAGCGAAUGACGAGAAGCUUGCUUCUCUGAUUUAGCGGCGGACGGGUGAGUAACACGUGGGCAACCUGCCCUACAGAUCGGGAUAACUCAGGGAAACCUGGGCUAAUACCGGAUAAUCCUUCGAAUCACAUGUUUUGAAGUUGAAAGGCGCUUCGGCGUCACUGUAGGAUGGGCCCGCGGUGCAUUAGCAAGUUGGGGGGGUAACGGCCUACCAAGGCAACGAUGCAUAGCCGACCUGAGAGGGUGAUCGGCCACAUUGGGACUGAGAAACGGCCCAAACUCCUACGGGAGGUAGCAGUAGGGAAUCUUCCACAAUGGACGAAAGUCUGAUGGAGCAACGCCGCGUGAGUGAUGAAGGUUUUCGGAUCGUAAAACUCUGUUGUAAGGGAAGAACAAGUACGUUAGGAAAUGAACGUACCUUGACGGUACCUUAUUAGAAAGCCACGGCUAACUACGUGCCAGCAGCCGCGGUAA